Molecule: long non-coding RNA, 3877 nt
Organism: Anolis carolinensis (green anole)
Lineage: Eukaryota; Metazoa; Chordata; Lepidosauria; Squamata; Anolidae
Exons: 3
Source: RefSeq, a predicted model, not a curated record
CCAUAAUAGUCCCAUUUCCUGAAGGAAAUUUCCAGCUCCACCAUGGUCUCUUUUGAAUCAUAGACUUUUGGUUUUGUUUGUUUUUUGAAGAAGACAUUUUGGUGAACUGUACCCAAGAUUAUCAAGACCCAUUAAACGGCAUUUUAAUUUUGGAGGAAAUGAUUUCAAUCUCAAUAUUUCAACCAAACAGCCUACAGCACAAACAUUUAAUUCACAUCGAACUGUCUUAAGUAAAGAGGUGGCUUACACAACUAUUAUUUAAGCUAUUAUUAAUAUUGACAUAGCACAAAAAGUACUAUAUAUUAUAAUAAUCAAGUUAUUAUCUGAAGUGCUCAGCAUUGUAUUCAUCUUUCAAUUAAAGUAGCAUUGAUCACAGAAAAUAAGAAAAUCAUAACAUAAUUCAUUUAUCAUUUAUGACAAACCUGCAUUUUUAGAGGAGGGGAGAUUGAUACCCCCUUCACAUGACAUUAUGAGAAUCCUGAUGUAAGGGUAAAAUGAAACAUCUAGUUUGGUCAUUUUGUAGUUGUUGUUUUCAGUAUUUUUCAAACAAGAGUCAUAAAAGUUGGAGAGAUUUUUAUCCAUUUGUUAUUCACUAUUAUUUUAAUUCCUUGAUGUGUGGGCACAUAUAUAUUGAAUUAUAUACAGUAUGAAGAGGGAGACGUAUAAGAACUUACAGACUUGCGUUGUCAAAUCACAGACUUAUGUUGGCCGGAAUCACUGGGUUGCUGUGAGUUUUCCAGGCUGUGUGGCCAUGUUCCAGAAGCAGUCUCUCCUGUUGUUUUGCAAACAUCUAUGGCAGGCAUCCUCAGAGGUUGUGGGGUCUGUAACUUUUCUGGUUGAAUUAGUCUGCAGUGUCUUUCAUGUUCCUUGAUUCGUGUUUGGGUGAUGUGUUUGGUGGUCCUUAUCUAGAGUUGCAUGGUAUACAGUAGACUUUUGCAGAGGUGGGAAACUUGGUGCCAUGGACAAGAACUAAACAAGUUCCUGGACCAUCUCAACAGCAUCCACCCAAACAUCCAAUUCACUAUGAAGAAAGAAAAUGAAGGAAAUUGCAAUUUCUAGAUGUUUUAGUCAUCCGCAAACCCAAUCAACAAUUAGAUCACACAGUUUACAGAAAACUUACACAUACGGAUAGAUACCUACAUUAAAUUCCAACCAUCACCCAAGUGAAAAAAAGAAGUACAAUCAAAGCCCUAGAAGACCAUAUAAAAAGAAUCUGCAAACCCCAUAUCCUCCAAGGUGUACUGAACUACCUAAACUGGGCUCUAUAGGCCAAUGGAGACUCCACCACAGACAUCAGAAGAGCUGCAAGAGCAAGAGCAAGCCGUGAGAGUAAAGACAAAGAUCCACCCAGAGGAAAAGUGCUCUUACCAUACAUCAAGGGAACCACUGACCGCAUAGGCAAGCUGAUAAAGAAACCCAACCUACAAACUAUCUACAGACCCACUAAGAAAAUCCAACAAAGGUUAUGUUCAGCAAAGAUGGAUUCCCCUCACCUCUGCAGGAGUCUACCGUAUACCAUGCAGUUGUGGACAAGUCUACAUCGAGACCACCAAACACAGCACCCAAACACGAAUCAAGGAACAUGAAAGGCACUGCAGACUAAUUCAACCAGAGAAGUAACAGACAUCACAACCUCUGAGGAUGUCUGCCAUAGAUGUGGGCGAAACAUCAGAAGAGAAUACUUACAGACUUUCCAAGUGAUUCAGGAUCAACCUAGACAGUGAGUGACACACAGAUAGAUACUUCUCAGCCUGUUUUAUUUUAAAUCAAACCACACAUUACUUUUCCCAUGACAUAUGGGCCUUUAAUCUUUCAUAGGGUCCUUUCACACUACACAGUCAUGGGUCUGUGAUUCCACUUUUAAUGCCAUGGCAGUAUCAAUGGCAUUCUGGGACUAGUUUUUUAGGAAGGAAUAUUUCAAAUUUUCUGUGAGAAAGGACCUUAUCAAAUGACAUACCAUAGGAUACUAUAGGACAUAGUCAAGGCAAUUAAAGUGGGAUGAGAGUACAAAAAAUAGUGCAGUGAAAGGGUCGAGAGGCUCUAACAGUUACACUGAAUUGCUGUUCAGCCAUGAAAAUCCACAGACCUUGGACAAGUCAUGCUAUCAGCCUCAGAGGAAGGCAACAGCCAGCCUCCUCUGAACUAUUCUUACCAAGAAAAGCCUAUGAUAGGUCCAUCUUAUGGUAGUUUUAAAUUUAGAACAACUUGAAGGCACACAACAAAAUGACCUUGUAAGUGUACCACUUUUGCCCACCCUUCCCCAGCCUACCUCAUCUUUGCCCAGAUACCCUCUGCAUCUCUCUAAAGUAGCAAUGUCUUUUGCAGCAAUAGAAUUUAGAUGCAAACCUAUGAAAAUGCUCAGUCUAUUUCCCUUGUCUUUGUUUCUUGCUCCUCAGUGGAGAGAAUUGUGGAUCUGCAAAUGCUUUGACUUUUCUCUGUAAAUGAAACCAGCGCAUCCUCACACGUUUCUUUCACUUUUCAUUUUCUGUGUGUUUCCAGCUAGAGGAAUUGCUCAGCUUGCAUAUUCUGCCUACCAAAUGCUAAUCAGAGACCUCAGAAAUUCCCUUUGGGAUGCAGGAGAGAUGCACAUCAGCACUCCAGAGCCAUACAGGAUGGAAAGAGAGGAAAGUGACAGAUAAUGCUUCAAAUUAAAUGGAAGGAAAUCAUGGCGUUGGAGGAGAAAAGAGACAGGAGCAUAUAUGCGGACGACACCCAACUCCUUCUGCGCUUGGAGCCUGGAGCAACAUCAAUACCAGACAAUUUCACCCUAUGCCUGGAGGCUCUGUUGAACUGGCUACGUGCUAGUAGACUGAAGGUGAACCCGGCGAAGACUGAGAUUCUCUAGCAUGGCCGCUCGACUGGUCUGACCCAUUUGCUACCCACCUUCGAUGGUGCUGCCCUAUCUCCUUCGCCUACUGUUAAGAGCCUGGGUGUCGUUUUAGAUUCGCAGCUGACAAUGGAAGCUCAAGUCGCUGCUGCCAGCAAACAGGCCUUUUUCCACCUACGACAAGCGAGGCAACUGGCAUCCUAUCUAUCUGAUGAGGCGCUGGCAACAGUCAUCCAUGCCACGGUCACGUCUAGGCUGGACUAUUGCAACGCCCUAUAUGUUGGCCUUUCGAUGUCCACGACCCGAAAGCUCCGUAUUGUGCAGAAUGCGGCAGCCAGGCUACUCACAAGAACACCCAUGAAAUGCCACAUAACACCAGUGCUGCAGCAUCUGCAUUGGCUUCCAACUGAUUACCGUGGUCUAUAUAAGAUGCUAGUUCUGACCUUUAAAACUCUUUACGGCCAGGGCCCAUCGUACCUUAGGGACCGUCUCUCCUUCUCCCAUCAUCGGAGGUCGCAACGACCAUCCCAACGAGACUUACUUUAUGUACCGGGUCCUAGAGAAGUGCACUUGGAAAAGACCAGACGCAGAGCUUUUUCUAUUUCUGCCCCUGCCUUAUGGAAUGCCUUGCUGCCCUACAUGAGAGCCAUGCGUGAGUUAGGGCCUUUUACCCUAGCACUCAAGACCUGGCUCUUUACUAGAGCUUUUAAUCUAUGUUAAUUUUAUUAAUAUUUGUAUGUAUGUAUUUUUAUCCUUUACAAUUUUAUCUUGUAAAUCGCCUAGAGCAUCGUGGAUGGAGGGCGAUUAAUAAGUAAUUAAAUGAUGAUGAUGAUGAUGAUGAUGAUGAUAUACUGAACAGUAGUAUAAAUGUGAAACUGACCCUCCAAAAUAUGAAUAACUAAUAACAUUUUUGUUGGUUGUCUUCUGCCCUUCAAAGUAAGAGUUAUCACACAUGUUUGUAAGAUUUGGAUUUUUACUGUGAGAUACUGUUGGUGUGGGAUAAGCUGUUUUUUUAAAAAAAAAAUUUUGCUAAUGUAUUUGUUGCUUAUA